AACAAAUCCAACUUGAUAAAUAUAUUCUAGUACACCCGUAGCCACUGCGGACCACAAGCAAAACAGAGGACAAGAGAGGUGGCCGUCGCCUGAGGAGAUUGUAGGGUCUAUGGCCUGAAGAGACUAUAGGGACCCCAUCCCUUCGCUAUUUCCCGGUAUCGGGCAGCCGGGGCGCAUCCAAUCCCACGAUCGUCGUCGCCCCUAAAUCAACACAACAACAACUACCACUGGGCUGGUUUACUCUUCAGGACACAGCGUUAGUGAAGUACUGAGUGCUAGUUAUACCCACUGUAUGUUCUAGUGUCUUCUGGUGCUUCUGGUAACAAUUACUUCCUCUACGAAGAAAACAAGAUAAACCUUACAUGAAGCUGCUGAGCAUUUGUUUCGUAUCGUCAUUGACUCUCGAGUUGGCAAAGCUGAUGCAGGAGCAGUAUAGCACAACCCAUGCACACCACUUCAACUGCAAAUGACAGCCCUGAGGUUACCUGAGGUUUCAAUCAACUUGCCUAAAAGGUCAACACUCCAAAAACGAAGGGUGAACAGGAGCACUGUCCAGAGCGAACGAUGCACUAGAACCCCUACCCCAGCCAGGAACCAGGAGAUAUGGAUCUACACAUGGCCCAAAGCUGGAUCCGAAGAACUCAACUGAAGCAGACUGAGGCUAAAAUACUGCACUGCCAGCUAUCAAAGAUUGAUCUACCUUCCCUUCCCGCCCAACCACUUGGGCUAGACAGUAGAGCGAAGGCCCAUUUUUUUGCAAGCCGGUUUUCAAUCCCCGACUGUCCAAGUGGUUGGGCACAAUUUCGUCCCCAUGUCCCAUCAAAAAUCCUUAUAUUGAUCCCUUCCAAAUGCUAUAUAGUUAUAAUGAUUUAGUGAUUUCUCCUAAUAAUUCCCUUCCCUUCCCUUUCCCUCCAGAAAGUAGAGAGGGUGUAAAAAGAGAGGCAAACCGCAAGGAAUACAACUAAGAAGAUUCCUGAUGAUCUAGAACUGCACGCUGGAAAGCACGACAGGCCGCAUAUAGUGUAAAUAUGCAACCACAUCCCACAGCAGCAGCUCAAACAACUAGAGCAAUGCUAUCAAGGCAAUCUUUGAAGACAACACAAAUGGUGAAACCAGCUGGGAAGAACCCUGCUCUAAACAUAAUUACACCUGAUCAACCAGCUGUGACUCAUACGUCAGGCUGCGAGCAGCCGCAUCCAACAGCCUGGUUGAUCAGUCCGGCAACCAGGAGGCCUGGUCGACGACCGGGCCGCGGGGACGCUAAGCCCCGGAAGCACCUCAAGGUAACACUGAGAAGAGCUCCAGAGUUGCACAAAAAUAGAGACCCUAUGCCAAAUGGAUCUAAAAUUUGUGGUCCAACAUGAUCUAUUACAGAAUGUACUUAUCAUUUUGACAAUGGCAUAUGAUAGAGCAAUCAUUGGCAAACAAUUCCAUUUAAAAAUCAUAAUUACAGUAUAUGACAAUUAUUGGUGGUCCCAACAUAACAUAAUGACCAGGAUUUACACAAACUCAACCAUUCUUGACAUAAAUCCCAGUAAAUUGAGGGUACCGGUAGUAUAGUCGAGUUCGUUCUUGACUCGCAAUCUAGAAUUCUGGGUUCAAAUCCCAGGCAACAUAGAAAUGGCGGGUGUGUAUCCUAUCACCUAAUGUACCUGUUCACCUAGCAGGAAAUAGGUACCCAAAAGUCAGUCAGCUUAUUGUGGGGUUGCAUACUGGGGAGGGUCAGUAAUUAGACCCUAGGGAUAGGGGGGAAAGGGGGGGGGGGAACCUGGAUACAAACCUAACAUGUACUGUAUGUAUAACCUGGCUGCCAGUCCUCCAACACAAUGAAUUAUUAUUAUUAAUAAAUUAUUCGCAAAAAAUUCUUUUAUGAUGCGUCUUGAUUAUGGCAUAUGAUACUGAUCACGGAUAAUUUGGUAUUAAAAUUAUAGAUGUACACACACACAACUUUAUUGAAACCAAACAUUCAAAAGGAGAGAACUUUUUCACCAAGGUUGAGAGAGGAAAUGAGGAAGGGAUAGUCUCACACCCUCCCUCCCUCUUCCCCCAUGCCCAGCAUUCAGCCGACUGCUGUUGCUUUGUCACACUUUUGGCUCACUUCACUCUCAUGCCAUAAAUUUUUCAGUAAAGUGAAAAUGUAUUUUGACUUAAUUACAAUCUUCGGCACAAUAAUUACCGAAUAAUGGACAUCCAUGUUAGUCACAAGGGUCGAGUUGACGGUUCUCCAACCUCCUAUCAAUUAAAAAACUAGGAAGAUCAGACCUAUGUGACAGGUAUUGAAGUAUUAUUAGUGUGACUCCAACUGUACACACAGAAGAUGAUGCAAAGCACCAACAUGGCACACGAGUCAGAAUCAGACAUAACACACACUAAAAUACCCAGCAACAGGCCUGGCCACGUGGACCGAGUCCCAAGCAGUACUGAUGUAAUGGCAACUCAAAAGGAGAAGCCCUGACUAGGACAACACCCAGAAUCUUGAAAAAUAUUACUGGUGGGAAUGGGUAAUACAAACUAGCUACAAGGCAGAGAGUUGAGAAACUAAAUCAGAAUGAAUGAACAGCUAAGGGCACACAAGAUGGGUGCCUUAAACUGACAAGUGAAGCAUGAAUAUAAACAAUACAAAAAGCAUGGCUCCCACAGAAAAUGUUCCCAUGAAUGCCAACAUCACUUACAUACAAUAUACAGUAGUUCAUAAAAUAUGAGUUGAAAACAAAAAAAACUGAGCAAGCUAGUGCCAGGAUGAAUAGGGAUGAUAGUGGUAGACAAUGGGGAUGAUACCGUGGGCUUCAGAACAGACCCUAUAAUGCCAGAAACCCAAAACUUACUCUCAUCAUUAGACCACACAUGCUGAAGAUCAUGCCUAGUACAUUCAUGUAGUCAGUAGUUGGAUCUUCACCAGGGGCCCCUGGAGUCCCUUGUGCUGAUGGUUUGUACCUGUCAAUGGUCAAAUUACAUUAUAUUGCAGUUGGUAUGUAUAAAAAUGUAAUAUUAAUGCAUUAUUAUUAUUACUGUAUCAGUAAGGUGUUAUUGAUCAAAUAAGUAACAUUAAAGCAUGAGUGAGAAGGCAAAUAAAAUGAAUUCAAUAAACACAGGUUUUAUAAUUCUCUUUGCAAGAAGUGAUUAGUUAUGGAAAAUCAGGAGGGAAGAUGAGAGAACAUAU
Procambarus clarkii (red swamp crayfish) is the source of this 3160-nucleotide long non-coding RNA. RefSeq lists it as uncharacterized. NCBI's taxonomy places the organism in Eukaryota, Metazoa, Arthropoda, Malacostraca, Decapoda, Cambaridae. The record is from RefSeq and is a predicted model, not a curated record.